RNAcentral lists this transfer RNA (73 nucleotides) under Anguilla anguilla (European eel). RNAcentral describes it as "tRNA-OTHER". Lineage: Eukaryota; Metazoa; Chordata; Actinopteri; Anguilliformes; Anguillidae. The record is from RNAcentral.
CCGCCUGUGGCCUAGUGGGCAAGGUAACAGUCUUGGGAACACAGGGUCGUAGGUUCAAGCCCAGCUAGGAGCG